GACGAACGCUGGCGGCGUGCCUAAUACAUGCAAGUAGAACGCUGAAGGAGGAGCUUGCUCUUCUGGAUGAGUUGCGAACGGGUGAGUAACGCGUAGGUAACCUGCCUGGUAGCGGGGGAUAGCUAUUGGAAACGAUAGCUAAUACCGCAUAAGAGUAGAUGUCGCAUGACAUUUGCUUAAAAGGUGCAAUUGCAUCACUACCAGAUGGACCUGCGUUGUAUUAGCUAGUUGGUGAGGUAACGGCUCACCAAGGCAACGAUACAUAGCCGACCUGAGAGGGUGAUCGCCACACUGGGACUGAGACACGGCCCAGACUCCUACGGGAGGCAGCAGUAGGGAAUCUUCGGCAAUGGACGGAAGUCUGACCGAGCAACGCCGCGUGAGUGAAGAAGGUUUUCGGAUCGUAAAGCUCUGUUGUAAGAGAAGAACGAGUGUGAGAGUGGAAAGUCACACUGUGACGGAUUUACCAGAAAGGAC
RNAcentral lists this ribosomal RNA (477 nucleotides) under Streptococcus mitis. RNAcentral's name for it is "bacterial SSU rRNA". It matches the Rfam family "Bacterial small subunit ribosomal RNA", at positions 28 to 493 of the family's 1533-position model. The record is from RNAcentral. Lineage: Bacteria; Bacillati; Bacillota; Bacilli; Lactobacillales; Streptococcaceae.